Molecule: ribosomal RNA, 454 nt
Filed under: uncultured bacterium
Lineage: Bacteria
Description: bacterial SSU rRNA
Rfam family: Bacterial small subunit ribosomal RNA
Source: RNAcentral
AGAGUUUGAUCAUGGCUACAGAACGAACGCUGGCGGCAUGCCUAACACAUGCAAGUCGAACGAGACCUUCGGGUCUAGUGGCGCACGGGUGCGUAACGCGUGGGAAUCUGCCCUUUGCUUCGGAAUAACAGUUAGAAAUGACUGCUAAUACCGGAUGAUGUCUUCGGACCAAAGAUUUAUCGGCAAAGGAUGAGCCCGCGUAGGAUUAGGUAGUUGGUGGGGUAAAGGCCUACCAAGCCGACGAUCCUUAGCUGGUCUGAGAGGAUGAUCAGCCACACUGGGACUGAGACACGGCCCAGACUCCUACGGGAGGCAGCAGUGGGGAAUAUUGGACAAUGGGCGCAAGCCUGAUCCAGCAAUGCCGCGUGAGUGAUGAAGGCCUUCGGGUCGUAAAGCUCUUUUACCAGGGACGAUAAUGACAGUACCUGGAGAAUAAGCUCCGGCUAACUCCGUG